CUUCCCAUCUUUGCUGAUUAAACCUUUUUGAAUACCCUAUUUUUUUAUUGUAAUUUGGUUAAAGCAGAACUCUCUUUUUUUUUUUUUUUUUUUUUUUUUUAAGUAUAGCCGCACAGUAAGAAAAAAACAUGCAAUUCUAUAGUGAAAAGAUUCUGAAGGUUACAUGGGUUCAUGGUAAAUAAAAUCUGAAUUGACCACCUUAAUCAUUUGUGUACACAAUUUAGAGCUAUUAUAAUUUUCAGAGGUGAUACACUUUCUGAAAAUGUAUUUUUCCUUUCAGAUAUGGUAUUGUUAUCUUCGCUGGGAUUGAUGGUUAUUCACGAAAGGUAAACAUUUGACACUUUUUCAAAACAAUGUGGCUGAGCCUAGUAUUACUAUAUUCUAUGUAGUAUGGCACAUUCAGUAAUUGCGCAGGAAGAUGUUACCACCUGCUGGGCAUUGCUGCCUGUCGCACCUCCUCCAGUGCCCAUGGGUCAGCUGCAGGGUCAUCAGCCAGAAACCACCAUUCACCAACGUUUCGCUCCUUUAAUUCUGGAACGUCUCCUGGUGGCGGAGCAGUGACAGGGACGUCUCCCUGUCACCCCCUGCAGCUGAUCGCUGUUCUCCCUGCGGCUGUUGUCUGGGGUUAGGUGUUCUUCCCCCAACACCUAUCUUUCCUCCUCAGCCAGAGCCAAAAGCUACCUUUCUCUGCCUCCUCUGCCAGAUCCUUUGUUGCCCUCCUUAACCUCCCUCCGGUCACUCCUGCUUCCCUCAAGAGGCGUAUGGUUGACAACCCAAGGAAACCUCGGCAUCCGACCUCCACUGGGUAGAUGUUCGUCUUCCAGCCAGCCUCCCGGCACUCAGCAGCGAGUUCUGAGUACCUGGCCUUCUUCCGUUCGAAGGCGGCCUCGAUUCCCUCCUCCAGUGGUACAGUAAGCUCAAUGAGGUUUAUCGAUCUUGCUUUGGUUGACCACACCACUAUGUCUGGCCGGAGAGAUGUGGUGGUUAUCUCCAUUGGGAACCGGAGCUGCCUGUCCAGGUCGACCCUCAUAUUCCACUCCUGGUUGGGGGAGAAGGGCCUUGCUGUUUCUCUUGAUCUGGUGCUUCUCCUUACCCCUCCUUCCGACACAAAGAUGGUGGGGUCCUCUGCUGGUGGUGGUUGUUUGCUACCCUGUCGACACUCCUCCAGUACUUCGGCUAGUACACAGGAUUCUUCAUUCCCAAACCACUGUUGGAGGUUCCGAGGGCAGGGAAGCGUGUCGUAGGUUGAACGGAUGAGGAAGCUAAGUCUUGCCUGUGGGAUCUUCCACACAUCUGACCAACUGAUGUUCCGGUUCAUGAUUCCCUCCCAGGUUGUCCAGCUUCCUUGUCGACCCUGCGACACGGCCUUGAUUUUGUAGCGAUCUUCCUCCAUCCUCGUCACCUCUGCUACCACCAUCUCCUUCCUUUGCUUGCGAUUGGCCUUGGACCAAAAGCAUGGCGUCUCUCCCCAUCCUAGCCCUGCUCUUCCUGCCUGAACUCUGCCCAUGAUCUCCCGGUGUUGUAG
This is a long non-coding RNA of Cyprinus carpio (common carp), 1525 nucleotides long. The record is from Ensembl. Lineage: Eukaryota; Metazoa; Chordata; Actinopteri; Cypriniformes; Cyprinidae.